Molecule: ribosomal RNA, 403 nt
Filed under: Pelophylax lessonae (pool frog)
Lineage: Eukaryota; Metazoa; Chordata; Amphibia; Anura; Ranidae
Description: partial 12S rRNA
Source: RNAcentral
AUAAAGGUUUGGUCCUAGCCUUACUAUUAGCUGUUUUUCAAUUUACACAUGCAAGUCUCAGCACCCCAGUGAGAACGCCCUUUUAACCUUCACCAGGAAAAGGAGCCGGCAUCAGGCACGACCCCGCCCAUAACGCCUAGUCUCACCACACCCCCAAGGGUAACAGCAGUGAUAAAUCUUAAAUAUGAGCGAUAGCUUGAUUUAGUUAGAGAAAAGAGGGCCGGCUAACCCGGUGCCAGCCGCCGCGGCUACACCGUGGGGCCCAAGCUAAUAGUCAUCGGCGUUAAGCGUGAUUAAAGCCCCCAACAAUUAGGGCUAAAUUAAUACUUAGUAGUGAUAAGCUUGUUAUUAAGAAACCCAUAAACGAAAGUUACCCUAAUUAAACUUGAAUACACGACAGCUA